This is a non-coding RNA of Plutella xylostella (diamondback moth), 3844 nucleotides long. NCBI's taxonomy places the organism in Eukaryota, Metazoa, Arthropoda, Insecta, Lepidoptera, Plutellidae. The record is from RefSeq and is a predicted model, not a curated record.
UUUUUUUUUUUUUUUUCUUUUGGACUCGCGCGACUAGCGCAUUUGCCACUAACAGCUAUAUGUUUUUUUUUACAAAAUAAAAGGUAAGGAAACGAAACACGGAAAUGUUAGGGAAAAAGGAAAGGACAUAGGAUCAGGAAAGUUCAGGUAUAAAGAAAUACACUUAAUAUAAAACAUUAAAAAAGGCAAAAAAAUAAGUACAUAUUUACAACUCAAUAUUAUUUUGACUGAGAAAAUCAACUAAAAUAUUAUAAACCUUUACUUUACAUAUAUGUAAUAAACUAUGAAUGGAAGAUGGGAGAGGAAUUUUUAAGGCAAUCAAAGAAUUAUAAAAAUCAGAAUGAUCAAAAAGAGGACAUGAAAAGAACAAAUGGUUCAAAUCUGCCCAAUCUGCACCACAUUCACACUCAGGAGUUGUCACAAUAUUCAUCUUGUAUAAAUGAGCUGGAGUACAAACGUGCCCCAGUCUCAUUCGUACAAGAGAAGAGGUUUUGUUUUUAGAAUAACAUAUCUUAUGAAACCAAGGUUUAUUUGGAAUAUCUACUUGAAUUGUUUUAUAGUGAGCUCCUUUCGUGUAAGCAUUCCACUUUUCCUUCCAUGUAGACUGUAAAAAAGUUUUUGGUAAAGAAUCUAAGUCAUGAGAGAAUAUUUUAUAAGGAAAUGUGUCACCACAAGAAACCGCCUCAUUGGCCAACCUAUCAGCCAUUUCAUUCCCUCUAAUGCCACAAUGACUAGGUACCCAAGCAAAUGAAACCGAGAUACCUAGAUUAUAACAUUUUUGAAUGUCUGCUCUAAUAUUAAAAAUUAAAGGAAAGUUAUAUUUAAGUUUAAAUGGAAAUCUGUCUAAUGUCUGAAGAGAGCUUAAUGAAUCCGUAAAUAUGACUGUCUUAUGAAGUUUACAUAUAAGAAUAUACUCUAAAGCUUUCGAAAUACCAAAUAAUUCACCUGUAAAGACAGAUGUCUCUGGAGGAAGUUUGAUUUUCUGUACUAUGUUAUAUUGGGAGUGGUAAACUCCUACACCUACUAUUCCUGAGGAGGAAUGUUUCGAAGCAUCUGUGUAGAUAUAAUGAUAACCCUGCCAUUCAUUCUCAAGAACUUGUAAGAAAUGAUUGUUAGUAAAAUCACCACUUCCCACUCCAGUGUUUAAAAUAACAUUUAAGUUUGAAACUAAGGCCUCAUAAUCACAUUCGAAAAUUGGAAGAUGAGUUGACCGAUUGAUGGGCGCACACAAAGAUUUAUAUUUUCGGAAACUAUUUACUAAACAUGGGAUAGGUUUAUAUCUCCAGUAAGAAGAGGACUGAACAUGUUCAUUAAGAUAUUGAAGUUUGGAAAUAAGGGGAUGAUGAGAAAAUUGUAGGAUUCUAAAUAAGAAUUUAUCAGAGAGGUAUUGCCGACGUAGGGCAAAGGGAGGUUCGGCACACUCCACUUGCAAGGCGCUGAUAGGGGAAGAGCGCAUAGCACCCGUUACCAAUCUUAGGGCCUUAGAUUGUAUGACAUCUAUACGUUUAAGUCCAGUGACAUUACUAAGGUCAAAUACUAUAGACCCAUAAUCGAUAACACUCCUUAUCAUAGCAUUAUAAAUUAAUUUCAUUGAAAAGGGGUGGGCACCCCACCAUACACCAGAAAGACAUCGCAACAUAUUUAACACUUUCUCACAUUUCAUUACUAUGUAAUCAAUGUGAGGUAAACCCGACAAUUUACGGUCAAGAAUCACCCCAAGAAACUUAGUGUGACUCUUAACAGGAAUUAUGACAUUAUCAUAUGAAACUGUUAUGGGAGGAGGCAUUCUCUUUCUUGUAAAUAAUACUAUUUCGCUUUUAUAAGGUGAAAGCUGUAAAUGAUUGGCAUCCAACCAUAUCUGUAACUUCCCCAAGUCACCCGAUAAAAUGGUCACCGUCUCAUCUAUUGACCUAUUACUGCAAUAAAAAACUAAAUCAUCAGCAUAUUGAAUAAUAUUUACAUUACUAAUUGAUGAUUCUAAAUCAUACGAGUAGAUAUUAAAUAACAAUGGACUAAGCACAGAUCCCUGAGGGAGACCUUUACAUAUAAUUCUACUGCUUGUAGAUUGACCAUUUUCGAGUAAAAUAGUUCUAUUGGUUAAUAUAUUCAAAAUAAAGUUGGAUAAUAAAAACGGUACAUUCAAAGCUAAAAGUUUACGACGUAGUAUAUUCAAGUUAACAUUAUCAUAGGCGGAAGUAAUAUCCAAGAACGCAGCCAAAACGGAUGCAUUGGCAGAAAAUGACAGACGAAUAUCUGUCACUAAUAGGGAGAUACAGUCCAUGGUGCUCUUGCCUUUCCUGAAACCAUAUUGACUUUGAGGCAAUAAACUAUUACUUUCAAUAAACCAUUCAAGCCUAUUUUUAAUUAAGUGCUCUGCAAUCUUAAGUAUUACUAACGAAAGAGCUAUUGGUCUGAAGCCUGAAGGAUCUGAGGGAUUUUUGAGAGGUUUAAGCAGAGGAAUAAUAGUCUGUACUUUCCAUAAAUGAGGUACAUUACCAGAAAUCAAAACAUGGUUGAUAAUCUCCAAGUAGUAUAAUAGUGUAUUAUCAGACAAAUGAGCAAAGAAAGAAUAAGGAAUACCAUCACACCCUGGUGCGGAAUCUUUACAAUAUUUAAUAAUACCUUUCAAUUCAUUUAAGUUAAAAGGAGAGUUUAAUCCUACUUGGUUGUCAACUAUUGAAGGGGGAAUGGAAUAUUUACAACAUAAAGAUUCUGGGGGAACUGAAGGAGGAGCUAACCUGUCAAGAAACUGUUCAGUCAGAGAAGGGGGAAAAGCAUUAAUUGUGGAUUCCUUGAAAGCAGAUUUAAAUCUUCUUAUAUUUGCCCACACUUCGGAAGGAUUUACUUGGGGGGAUAUGGAAAGACAAAAAGAUCGCCAACUAGCAAACUUUUUCUGUUUAAAUAACUGUUUAGUUUUAGUGAUAGUUUCUAACAGGGAGUUGGAGUAGAAGCAAUAGUGCUACCCCAAGAGGAGUGUUGGCAGUUAAGAUCACCUAAAAUUAAAAGAGGUUUAGGAAUAGAAGAUAGGAUACCAUCAAUCUCAUUGAUGAUAUCAGCAGAAGCAAGGGGUAUAUACAAAGAAACAAAGGUAAUGUUAUUAACCUUUACGGCAAUAAUGGAGAAAUUACUACUAUGGGAUGGAAUGGGAAUAUGUACAUAAUUACACGGACGCCUGAUGAAUAAGGCUGUACCACCAUAUCCAUCAGAUCUGUCCUCUCUCAGACUAGAGUAGCCUGGGAUUUUAAAGAUAGAGCCUGGCUUAAGCCAGGUCUCUUGAAAUGAUAAUAUAAAUGGAGGCGAUUUCGGUUUCAGAUAAACAGUUUUUUUAUAUGAAGUUGAAGAUGAAGGAUUAUUUACAAAUGAUAAAUCAUUAUUAGUAUCCAUGAAUGGAGUGGAGAUCGGUUUAGAUGAAACCACUUCAGAAAACAAUCGGGUGACUUGAGGAUGAAUUUUGCUGGCCUCAGCAUAAGAGAUGCAGCUCUGCGCCAUGGACAAUUUAAUCGCUCUUUGUCUUUCAAAUUCUGGACACUUCUUGUUGGUUGCAAAGUGCGAGCCACCACAUGAGCAGCAUUGGAAGUCGCCCUCCUCUGCUGAACAUGUAGAUCCCGAGUGUUUGCCGCCACACUUGAAGCACCGAGGUAAAGAUCUGCACUGAUCCUUAACAUGCCCAAACCGACAACAGUUGAAGCACUGAACAGUGGGGAAGAUAUAAAGUUCUACGGAGAGGGAAGAGUAACACAUGAAGAUUCUUUUAGGAAGAACUUGGCCAUCAAAUGUUGCUACGACUGUACCUGUGUUAAUAUGGGAUGCCUUUCCAUCAUUAAAAACUUUACGUUUCAUUCUU